AAAGGAUAUAGUAAGGCUCACGGGAAGGAGGUUAGCCUACCAAAGAACCCCGAAUAUAUUCAACAGCCUGAGGAAUGAAAAAGAUAGGAGUGAGGAUUUGGAAAAAUCUGGUAUCUACAGAAUACUCUUCAAGUACCAAGAUACCCAUCAAGCAGCAGCAUAUGUAGAUAUGAUGACAAGGACUCUGUGUCAAAGGCUCAAGGAACAUGAGAGAGAUGUAGAAAAGGCCAAUUUGAACAAUGUUUGCAAUGUUAGCAAUGGAGGUCUGUAAUGUGAAUAUAUGGGCAGAUUGGCACAACAGUAGAAUUAUAAAGCCCAUUAUAAAUGAAUUGCAAGCCUUCCUGGCUGAAAUGAUCGAGAUAACUAGGAGGUGGGAAAUGGAAAACCUUGUCAAUGACAGGCCAGCACUCAACCUACUACCAACAUGGGAGUACAUCCUAAGAAAGACAAGCUGAUGAAGAUACAACAAGUUGCUCCAUAAUAAGUCUGCAAUAUACUGGCAUUAGUAUUUUGGAUAUAGCGAAAUCCUGAACUACCACAACUUGACCCCUAUAGACUUGUGUUUAUUUUGUGGUUUUAUUCGUAUUUUAAC
This 592-nucleotide long non-coding RNA is filed under the name Androctonus crassicauda. Lineage: Eukaryota; Metazoa; Arthropoda; Arachnida; Scorpiones; Buthidae. The record is from RNAcentral.